GGAUGUGAGGGCGAUCUGGCUGCGACAUAUGUCACCCCAUUGAUCGCCAGGGUUGAUUCGGCUAAUCUGGCUGGCUAGGCGGGUGUCCCCUUCCUCCCUCACCGCUCCAUGUGUGUCCCUCCCGAAGCUGCGUGCUCAGUCGAAGAGGACGGCCUUCCCCGAAUAGAGAUGGACUGGUCUUGGUCUUUGGUCGAGGGUAUACGAGUAGCUGCGCUCCCCUGCUAGAACCUCCAAACAAGCUCUCAAGGUCCAAAAGAUUUUGGAAAGAUAUGGAGGUGGUGGAAGAGUUUGCAGUGGCUCUAGAACUGGACAACCAACACUG
This 322-nucleotide small nuclear RNA is filed under the name Erinaceus europaeus (western European hedgehog). RNAcentral describes it as "7SK RNA (ENSEEUG00000017056.1)". It matches the Rfam family "7SK RNA". Rfam says of the family: 7SK was discovered as an abundant small nuclear RNA in the mid-70s but a possible function has only recently been suggested. Two independent studies have found that 7SK RNA binds the CDK9/cyclin T complex (known as elongation factor P-TEFb). The record is from RNAcentral. Lineage: Eukaryota; Metazoa; Chordata; Mammalia; Eulipotyphla; Erinaceidae.